Molecule: non-coding RNA, 84 nt
Organism: Xylariaceae sp. FL0662B
Lineage: Eukaryota; Fungi; Ascomycota; Sordariomycetes; Xylariales; Xylariaceae
Source: the annotation of a GenBank genome assembly
GGCCGCGUGGCGUAGUGGGUUAACGCCUGGCAGUGCACUGUUCUGGAGAGACAGCGCAAGGGGGUUCGAAUCCCUCCGCGACCA